Molecule: long non-coding RNA, 939 nt
Organism: Xiphias gladius (swordfish)
Lineage: Eukaryota; Metazoa; Chordata; Actinopteri; Istiophoriformes; Xiphiidae
Exons: 2
Source: RefSeq, a predicted model, not a curated record
AGUUUGUCUCCAUCCGGUGGACAAACCGGACACGACAAACAGAAACACCUGCGGGACAAACCCCAAUCACGUGACACAGAGAGGAAGACGCGAUGAACCCGUCUCACCUGACUCCUCCGCCGCCGCUUCAGACCACCGCCGAGCUGACUCUGUCCCCUUUGACACUGGGGCUCGACUCCGUGUGAACUCCCCACACCCUCCUCCUGUCCGCGCCUUCUCCCGGCCAGUCAGCAUCAGCGGGAGCGGGUUCUAAAGCCGUCCCACAUCGAGUCCGCUUCGAGGCUGGUGUACUAACUACACUGCUGGUUUGUGUCCAAGAUGGAGGGAAGUCCACAAACCCACUAAUGCGACCUACAGCGGUGAGCAUUAAAGUCCACGAUGGGAAAAACCUGACAAACCAGACACUGCAGGAGUUAAUGAAGUCCAGGAGGUGGCAGUAAUAAAACACUGAGGAUGUCAUCUGCUGACAACUUUUCACAGUUUGGAGAUUCAGGUUAGAAACUUGUCAUUCGUUGCGUUGACUGGUCACCUCUCUAAGUCUGGACCGAAUCUGAAGGGAAACUCAGCUGCAUCACGGUGGCGUCAUUUUGACUAAAUAAAUGUGACUGAAUGAUGACUGGGAUGGAUUUCAUAUCCUAUAUAUAACUUAUACAUAUAUCUAUAAAUUUGUAUUUUCGUUCAAUCGGCAGUUGUUUGUUUUUUUUUAAGUUAAAGUAUGAAGCUGGUGAUAUUCUCUGAUCCCACCUAUGUCACAGUAAGUAUCACUGGAGCAUCACAUCAGUGACUCUGCAGAAACACGCAUAAAAGCAGAUCGAUGUCCAUAAACCUACUCUGUUUUACUUUCUGCCAUCAAACAUAUUUAAAUUUCUUUAUAAAUCAGUUUUAUUGUUGAACUGCAGUUCUAUGAUCCUGAAAUAAAUAAAUGUCAGAUGGACAAUA